Molecule: RNA transcript, 2331 nt
Organism: Oncorhynchus gorbuscha (pink salmon)
Lineage: Eukaryota; Metazoa; Chordata; Actinopteri; Salmoniformes; Salmonidae
Gene name: palmitoyltransferase ZDHHC16B-like
Exons: 10
Source: RefSeq, a predicted model, not a curated record
GUCAGGAUUUUUUUUUAUACAUGAAAGCAAGCUAGCAAGGGCUGCAGUGCAUCGGUGCACGAUUUAUAAUGUUUUCCUAAAUAUCUUUGAGUGUAGCGAACAUCUCACAGUUAUGAGUUGAAUUGCAAUUUAUUUAACCUAGCUGGUUCUGUCAUUUCAGAAGAUACGUUAAGGCGGGGGCAUGCGCAGCUGGAGGUGGCAGUUCUCCAGGAUGAUGCGUCUGUGCCUGCGCUGGUGCCGGCUGUGCCCUAAGCGAGGGGGUCGACCCAGCAAGCCCCAGAGGAAGCUACGAGAGCUGUGGAGCUACUGGAAGCUGCUGCUCAACUCCCUCUACUUCAACAGCCUUACCAACUCUGACACCUGCCUGGACUGUGUCUUUGAGCCCGUCUACUGGAUAGUCGACAAUGUGACUCGCUGGUUUGGGGUUGUGUUUGUGUGCCUGGUGAUUGCCCUCACCAGCUCUGUGCUGGUCAUUGUCUACCUGUGCCUGCUGCCUGUCAUCCUCAACACCUACCCACUGCAGUGGAUCGUCUGGCACCUCACUUACGGCCACUGGGUCCUCAUGAUGGUCCUCUUCCACUACUAUAAGGCCACCACCACCUCCCCUGGACACCCACCACAGGUUAAAAGUGAUACACCGUCAGUGUCCAUCUGUAAAAAAUGCAUUGUGCCCAAACCAGCCAGAACUCACCACUGCAGCAUCUGCAAUACGUAAGUUAAAGACUCUGAUAAUCACCAUGCCUGGCUCAACAACUGUGUGGGCCACUUCAACCACCGCUACUUUUUCUCCUUCUGCCUGUACAUGACCAUGGGCUGCAUGUACUGCAGCGUCAGCUGCAAAGACAUGUUCAUAGAGGCCUACAACGCUGUCGAGAGCUACUAUCAGACGCCACCACCACUGUUUUCCUUCAGAGAAAAGAUGGUCCACAAGAGUGUCAUUUUCAUUUGGGUGCUAACAAGUUCGGUGGCAGUAGCUCUGGGAGGUCUGACACUGUGGCAUGCUAUCCUCAUCACCCUAGGAGAGACCAGCGUGGAGAGACACAUCAACAAGAAAGAGGUCAGACGCUUAAAGGAGAAAGGAAAGGUGUUCCGAAAUCCAUACCAUUAUGGGAAAAUAAACAAUUGGAAAGUGUUGUUUGGUGUGGAGGAGACCAGUCACUGGUUGACCAGAGUCCUCCUGCCGUCUAGUCACACUCCCCAUGAAGACGGACUGGUAUGGGAAUUCCCUCAGGCUCUCACCAGAAGAGACCCAAUGACCAUCUAACCUCACUACUCACUGCUGCUGGCCAGUUUCUCAUCUCUACACUAUGGCCCAGAAUCACUACUGGCACCUGGAUGGUGGAGUGAACAGAGGACUUCUCUUAGCCUCUGAGGAGUAGACCGUUUGGGCUUGAUAGUGACCCGUAUGUCAGGGGACCUUAAUCUGCACUCCAGUCACUGUCAUGUGAACUGUCUUUUUUCAACUGUCGUCCUGUCUUGUGAACUGAUUGUUUUUUUUUGUACUGGUAGGUAUGUUGUCCAAAGAUGACAAUGUGUACUUUUUAAUUGUACUGAAGUCACAGAAAAAGCAGUUAGGACUUUUUCAGUGCCAACAAAGAGCUUUUCACCAAUGACUAGGUUAGAGCUAGAUAACCACACACCUUGGCCAUUCUCCAUCUAGGGGUGAGUAGUCUGGAGACUUUUUGACAGACUUCCAUAAACUAUUCAUAUUAUCGUUCAGGCUCUAGUUAGAACAUGGUGCUCAUAUUACUGAGCAGUGCCCCAGUCAAUAUCCAGGGGUGAUGUAAUACUAUGGUCGACCAUGUAAAAAACGACACAUUUCACUGAACCUAUCCGGUGUAUGUGACAAAACAUCUACAUAAGCGUAUUAGGAAUUUUCAAAAGAUUCGUAACGUGCCGUGUGAAGUUAAAUCUUUAACAUUUGUUUAUCAGGCACUAAUGCAAAGUACAGUUUUACUGGAAUAUGACAUUUCUAACAUUGUCCAUUAAUUAUCUCGCCCCCAUCACAUAUGGUAAUGGAUUUCCCCAGUAGCCAUCUUUUAAGAACACUUAACAUGGUUAAAAGCGCUUGAAUGCAUCAGACUUCCUCCCAACCGGUCUUGUGUUUGGCCACCAUUUAGAUUUAUAAUGGUCAGGGGAUAUUUCUAUAAUUAGCCAGCCUGUUACAGUAGGAAGGGGCUACCUGGUUGCCAUAGUGAAAAAAUGUCCUCACUGCUGUGACAUGACUAAUAGGAGCUGUGCUCCAUUAUUGUACACCGCAUGUCUGUGUCAUUUGCUUUUGAUAUUAGCUUGUAUUGGUUAAUAUAAAAUAUUGUUUUUGGAGACUGUGAA